RNAcentral lists this long non-coding RNA (5754 nucleotides) under Sus scrofa (pig). RNAcentral describes it as "lncRNA (ENSSSCG00065024183.1)". The record is from RNAcentral. Lineage: Eukaryota; Metazoa; Chordata; Mammalia; Artiodactyla; Suidae.
UAGUGUGACAAGUCCUCACCUCAGGUUAUCUUCUUCCUGCCAUCAAUGUCCUGGGGAAGUUGAAUCAGUGACGAGUAGAUGAACACACACUCUGAGCAAGGCAAGGGGGGAAUUUCACCCACGCUCUGGGAAGGCACCCCCGGCUUCCACUGAGGGUUCUUCUCUGCUAGUGCCCCCCAUUCCCAGGCCCCGCUCCCACCCUGGGUGGUUUGGAUCCUCCAUACUCUGGGGUCCCCGUUUUGACCUUUUCUUUCUCUAGAUGUGUGAGUGUCACUGACUAAGCCAAAGUCACCUCAGUGCCCUGGGCCUCCAAGAUGGCAUUUCUCUUCCUGUUAUGAGCUGACUUCACAAACGCUGCCCUCCCUGGUCAGGGGCUUCCUGCCUUCGCAGCCCACAGCCCGGCUGCAGAUGCAAAAGUAACAGUGCCGGUCACCACACUCGGGGCGUGACUGUCACCAUGUGCUCUCACCCCGCGCACCACCUGGGUCCCAGUUCCUCACGACUCAGUCCCCCCUUGGAACAAUUCCAUCCCAUCGACUUAAAAUUCUGCUGCAUCCCAAAGAAAAAGCAAGUCCAGGGAAGCGCCCAGAGCUAAUACAUCAAAUUGGGUACCCUUUCAGUUCACAGGGGCCAGGACCACAAGUCAGCCUGGCUCCCAUCCAAACCCUCCAGAGGGCCCCCCUCCAGCAGAAGCAAAGCAGACAGCUGCCUCGGACCUCUUCCCACAGCUCUGCCGGGUGUCAGGAAUGGAAACUGAUCCUUCACUGGGGCUCUGGCUCUUUUGAUUUUGUGACUGAGAACCAGGCAGAUGGGCAAGGAAGAAAAAAAGACGGAGCACAGGGGCUUCAUUCAGGCAGGCCUCUCUCCAUCCCUCCCCCUCUGUGUGCCUGACCCCUGCCCUCAGUCUCCUCCUGCCCCUGAGCUUCUGCCACUUCAAUGGCCUCCAUCUCUUUCCCUGUCCAUCCCCCUCUCUGUCUGUCUUCGGGCUUUUGUUGUUGUUGUUGUUGUUGUUGUUGUUGUUGCUGUUUAGGGCCACACCCUCAGCAUAUGGAGGUUCCCAGGCUAGGGGUGGAAUCGGAGCUAUAGCCACCGGCCUACGCCAGAGCCACAGCAACAUCAGAUCUGAGGCUUGUCUGCAACCUACGCCACAGCUCACGGCAAAGCUGGAUCCUUAACUCACUGAGCAAGGCCUGGGAUCAAACCCACAACCUCAUGGUUCCUAGUCAGAUUCGUUUCCGCUGCACCACGAUGGGAACAUCUAUCUUCUGUCUUAAUUCCACUCUCCUUUCUGUUCCUCUAGUUGGUAAUCAUCUGUGUAUCUUUCUGCUCUCCUUCCUGUUUUCUCUGUCUCUCUCUCAUCUCCACUUUUAUUUUUAAAUCUACUUUAAUUACUCAAUCUUUUUUGCCUAUCUAGAUCUCCUUUCUUUCCCCUUCCAAAGAAAAAUACUAACGCAAUUCCUCAGAAAACUAAACAUAGAACUACCAUUUGAUCCAGCAAUCCCACUCCUGGGCAUCUAUCCAGAGAAAACCACAACUCGCAAAGACACAUGUACUCCCAUGUUCAUUGCAGCACUACUUGCAAUAGCCAAGACAUGGAAACAACCUAAAUGUCCAUCGACAGAGGAGUAGAUCAAGAAGAUGUGGUACAUAUACACAAUGGAAUAUUACUCAGCCAUUAAAAUGAAGGAAAUCCCGGCAUUUUUAGCAACACGGAUGGACCUAGAAAUUAUCAUGCCUAGUGAAGUCAGCCAUACAAUGAGACACCAACAUCAAAUGCUUUCACUGACAUGUGGAAUCUGAAAAAAGGACAGACGGAACUUCUUUACAGAACAGAUACUGACUCACAGACUUUGAAAAACUUAUGGUCUCCGGAGGAGACAGUUUGGGGGGUGGGGGGAUGUGCUUGGGUUGUGGGAUGGAAAGCCUGUGAAACUGGAUUGUGAUGAUCAUUAUACAACUACAGAUGUGAUAAAAAAAAAUUUAAAAAGAAAAAAGAAAAUUAAAAAAAAAGAAAAAUACUAACGUGUGAGAUAAGAUAGCCAGCAACCUUCCAUCAACCUUCCAUACCCCACCUCCUUACAUACAGACCCCAAGGUCCUGCCAGAGGUUCAAGGUGGUGGUUCCAGUGGCUCAUCUUCAAAGUCAUCACUGAUAAAAACUCUAACUUGGAGUUCUCAUCAUGGCUCAGUGGUUAACAAACCUGACUAGUAUCCAUGAGGACUCAGGUUUGAUCCCUGGCCUCACUCAGCAAGUUAAGGAUCUGGCGUUGCCAUGAGCUGUGGUAUAGGUGGCAGACGUGGCUCCGAUCCCAAAUUGCUGUGGUUGAGGUGUAGGCGGGCAGCUACAGCUCUGAUUUGACUCCUAGCCUGGGAACCUCCAUAUGCCAUGGGCACGGCCCUAAAAAAAGACAAAAGACAAAAAAAAAAANCCUUCUCCAUGUUGAGCCCCAGGUGGGCUCUUGGUCAAGCACACUGAGCAGGGGCAGCCCAGAUUACAGUACCCAUUCAGGAAUGACCAGACCGGGUUGGAAUGAAAUCUCUCUCUUUGAAAGCAAGACCCCCAGUGGAGCCCUUAUCAGUGGUGCCACACCUGUUCUACCAGGGAACUGCAGGGCACUCACAGCCCACCCCACCCAGCCCCUUUCCCGCCCUUUACUUUGCUUAUCUUAGCUCCAGAAGGUGACAACAGGGACACACCCAGCCUAAACAGCCCUUCCCAAUAACUUUGGCCAGGAAUCCCGUGGGUAAGUAGCCUACUCGUCAUCCAAGAUGGCUGAGAGGAGGAAGGCUUUGGGGGGGGGGGGUGCAGUCCCAGAAGUGAAAUGUGGGGGCUGGUCUGGGUCUGAUCCCUGGGCAGUGGUCUGGCUGGAAUCAUGAAGGCUGGACAGGAGUCACCAUUACUGCCUGACUCUGUGUGUGUGUGUGUGUGUGCGUGCGUGUGCGUGUGCGUGUGCGUGUGUGUGUCUUUUUAGGGCCAUAACCUCCUGCACAUGGAGGUUCCCAGGUGCAGCCCUAAAAAGCAAAAAAAAAAAAAAAACAAAACAAAAAGGAAAAAAAAAGAAAAUAUUACUAACAUCAAGAGAUUUGAAUCAAUAUUUCAAAUUAUCCUGAUAAUUUUGAAUAGUUUUAAUUAGCUUCCAUCCAUAAUGAUUAGAUUAUUAGAGUUGUGGGGGGAUUUUGUUUGGUGGGUUUUUUUGUUUUGUCUUGGGGUUUUUGAGCUUUUUUUUUAGGGCCAUGCCUAUGGCAUGUGGAAGUUCCCAGACUAGGGGUUGAAUCAGAGCUGCAGCCGCUGGCCUACGCCACAACCACAGCAUCGUGGGAUCCAAGCCACAUCUGCAACCUACACCACAACUUACGGCAACGCUGGAUCCUUAACCCACUGAGCGAGGCCAGGAAUCAAACUUGUAUCCUCUUGAGUACUAGUCAGGUUCAUAACCCACUGAGCCACAACAGGAACUCCAGGUUUUGGCGGCGGUGGUAGGGAGUUGGCCCUGCCCAUGGUGUAUGGAAGGUCCCAGGCCAGGGAUCAAACCCACACCAGAGCAGCAACCCAAGCCACUGCAGCGAUAACACCAGAUCCUUAACCCACUAUGCCACAAGGAAACUCCUGAACCACUUCUCCUCUCAACAGCAGUAGCUAAGGAACUCCUCUAGAUUGUUAGAGUUUUAACUCAAGACAAAAGAUAUCAAGGCCCCCCCUCGAAGGGUGGGGAGCAACGGCCUUGCCCUUUCCUUGCCAUCUGCCUGUGCCUGGACCUACCGGCCUUCUCCCCAACUCCCAGUGUCAUUUCAGGAAAUUGCUGAACACUUGGUCCAUUGUGCGAGGGCAAGUGUAUAGUUAAAACUAAGUGAGUUCACCCAUAAAUCCACUUCGUGAACAUGAGUAAGCGUGUCACAAUAUGCUAAAAAGGAGCAGAGAUGGAAGGACCCCUCUGCCCAUUGUCAUGGAACUCCCCAUCCCCCACUUCCCUCAGACCCCCCGCACCCUCCGCUCAGACACACACAACAUGCCUGACGUAAGGGCUAAAUGCAGGCGCCAGGGUCCCACAAAGCAAAUAUUAGAAAAGCUCAAAUGUUUUCUCGGUGUUUAGCUGAAAAAUACACGUAAAUAGAAGUUUCAAUCAUUUUGUCUCCUAUCCCAAUGGAUCCUCUUGUAUAACCCCUGGGUUUAAGACCCCUAGUUUUGGGAACUUCCAUUCUGGAAGGCAUAGGCCUGUAUCCAAAUUCCUCAUUUUGUGGACAGGUUUUGCAAAAGAAGAUGUCCUGUGAGUUUCUCAUCUUUGAGGCCAUGUAUUAUGUAUCUUCCCAGCCCCAGCCCCAGGCUGGCGGAGAGAAGACGCUCAGGAACUAUUUACAGAAUUAACAGCACACUCCCCAAGUGCACAGCCUCCCCUCUGCGCUGCGAAUGCUUGCCUUCCCUUCGGCCCCUGCUCUCCCACCCCACCAAGUCCUGUUCAUCCCCAUAAGCUCAGCUCAGAUGUUACCUCCUCUAGAGUAGCUGCCCACCUCCAGCUCUGUUUGCUCUUUCAGCGCGCCCUCCCUGCCUUCCCCAUUUGAGAACCAGGAGGGCAGGGAAGGUGUCCAAUUCACCUGCGUGCCCCGUGCCUGGCACACAACAUGCGCUCAGUAAAUGGCUGAUGAAUGAGAGACUCCCACAGAGCCAAGGGUGAGAUCAAGGGACAGUCUGGACCAGAGACUUUCGGGUUCAAGAACUUCAGUUCUGGGUAAUCAGCAUGCAGAGGCUGAAGGCCAAGGGACACUGUGUGAGGGACAUCCAGGACCCAGUCUGCAUGUUGAACCUCAGAGGGGCUGCUCACUGAAGGCCUUUCAGGUAGGAGAUGAAUCUACCCAAAGAGGCAGGCAACCCCAGGGUGUGGGACUGAGCUUCCACCAGCUGGUGGCACUGUGUCUGCGUCUGCCAACCCCACUGAAGCAGAGCAGCUUCCCGGAGCCAAGCAACCUCUCCCAAGCAUCGCUCUGCAGCCAAAAGCACUGAGUCAAGCCAGAAGCACCAGCAUUAUCAAUAAGUGAUCAUCUGCGGGACUUGGCAAGGCCCGGACGCGGACAAUCUAAAAGCAUCCCAUCUUCCAACAGGGUCAGCCCAAGGAACGCAGUUGUUAAUGGCCCACCAUCAACUCCAUCACCCACAAAGAAACCUCAGAAUCAUCCCUAAUCACCCCCGCAGCUGGUGCCUUGGAGUCUGCGUCAGCAAUGUCUCUCAAUCCCGGCAGCCCAGCAUCUGCGCCAAUCUUGUGCUUUGGGUCCGCCCGCCAAGCUGUGUGCUGUUGGGUCAGUUACUGCUGUUCCCUCAGCCAUAAAAUAAGAACAUUGAGACUGGGUUCGCAAGGUUCUUAGGGCAAAAUCACUUCUCUUACACACAGCACAGAGCAGGGGACACAACACAGAGUAAAAUGUUAAUAAAGAAUAUCUCUUCUUUUCUUCCUCUUCUCCAUCCCCGUGGACCACACCUUAACGCGGGGCUUUCUCCAUCUUUCCCUGAACUGUUGCAACUGCCUCUUACCUGUUCUCCCGACGCCUCCCCUACACGGCUGCCAAGAAGUAUCUUCCUCUGAGGCAAGAGUUAUACUUUAAACUUACUCAAGCAACUUUUAAGUACCUUGUGUGCCAGGCACUGCGCUGGUGCUGCAGAUAUAAAAAUAAAUGCGCUCUCUCCCAGGGAGCCCAGCACAGGGGCCCACAAAUACUUGUGACUGUUUUAGCUAGAAGGUCCCUAAGCAGGGACUUGAACUGAUCU